This is a small nuclear RNA of Rattus norvegicus (Norway rat), 93 nucleotides long. NCBI's taxonomy places the organism in Eukaryota, Metazoa, Chordata, Mammalia, Rodentia, Muridae. The record is from Ensembl.
GUGCUCGCUUCGGCAGCACAUAUACUAAAAUUGGAACGAUGCAGAGAAAUUUUCAUGGAUGACAUGAAAAUUCGUGAAGCGUUCCAUAUUUUU